GCAGUCGACGAUGAAGCCUUUCGGGGUGGAUUAGUGGCGAACGGGUGAGUAACACGUGGGCAAUCUGCCCUUCACUCUGGGACAAGCCCUGGAAACGGGGUCUAAUACCGGAUAACACUCUGUCCUGCAUGGGACGGGGUUAAAAGCUCCGGCGGUGAAGGAUGAGCCCGCGGCCUAUCAGCUUGUUGGUGGGGUAAUGGCCUACCAAGGCGACGACGGGUAGCCGGCCUGAGAGGGCGACCGGCCACACUGGGACUGAGACACGGCCCAGACUCCUACGGGAGGCAGCAGUGGGGAAUAUUGCACAAUGGGCGAAAGCCUGAUGCAGCGACGCCGCGUGAGGGAUGACGGCCUUCGGGUUGUAAACCUCUUUCAGCAGGGAAGAAGCGAAAGUGACGGUACCUGCAGAAGAAGCGCCGGCUAACUACGUGCCAGCAGCCGCGGUAAUACGUAGGGCGCAAGCGUUGUCCGGAAUUAUUGGGCGUAAAGAGCUCGUAGGCGGCUUGUCACGUCGGAUGUGAAAGCCCGGGGCUUAACCCCGGGUCUGCAUUCGAUACGGGCUAGCUAGAGUGUGGUAGGGGAGAUCGGAAUUCCUGGUGUAGCGGUGAAAUGCGCAGAUAUCAGGAGGAACACCGGUGGCGAAGGCGGAUCUCUGGGCCAUUACUGACGCUGAGGAGCGAAAGCGUGGGGAGCGAACAGG
Molecule: ribosomal RNA, 700 nt
Filed under: Gammaproteobacteria bacterium
Lineage: Bacteria; Pseudomonadati; Pseudomonadota; Gammaproteobacteria
Description: bacterial SSU rRNA
Rfam family: Bacterial small subunit ribosomal RNA
Source: RNAcentral